Oncorhynchus tshawytscha (Chinook salmon) is the source of this 973-nucleotide long non-coding RNA. RefSeq lists it as uncharacterized. Lineage: Eukaryota; Metazoa; Chordata; Actinopteri; Salmoniformes; Salmonidae. The record is from RefSeq and is a predicted model, not a curated record. The transcript has 3 exons.
GAGCAGUGUACUUUGUAUCCCUAAUUUACUCAAGUGUUUCCUUUAUUUUGGCAAUGACCUGUAUAUGUCUAUUGUCUGCCGAUAGGUAAUUAUUGUCUUGCCCUGGUGACAAUCUAAUUUCUUCUCUGAGAUUGACAAAGCAUGAUCAGGAAAUUCUAUAGAUUAUCUACUGGGCCAUGCUCCAGAUGCAUUCUAUUUGUCCAGCACCUUUUCCAGAUCCAGACACUUCCAGACACUUUUAACAUAACAUAGAGCAGGUAAUGGUGUUUCUCAUUCCUCUGUGGGGCAGGAACGGGUGCAGCUCUUCCACAGGAGGAUUCAGUCUCUAGGUAAAGCCCUGCUGAGGUCUGUAGAAAAGGGCAGAAGAAGAGGGACCCAGAUUCCUCCAGACACUCACAACCUGCCUCCCAGGUGGGUCCUACCUAGCUGAAAUUAUGGGGGUGUCCUCUGUCUCUUGCAUGGCCUGUGGAAGGGGAGGAGAGGGACAGGAUGACCCCAGCAUGGUCACAUGCAUCACUCCUCAGUGUAAAGAGACUCCAGUGAUGAUGAGCAGCUGGGCCUGUGGACUGCGGCGCUAACUUGCCCCCACAUCCCCCACAGGGGCACCAGGAGACGAUGGAGAUGGGGAUCGCCAUGGCAACGUGGCGACGGCCCUCAGAGAGCAGGGUGCAGCGUGGGGCCUGCAGCAGUAUAGGGCUGGUGGAAGGAGACAAUGGGGACAGUAGUAGAUUUUGGCGAUUUUUUUUAAAUUGAUUUUUUAAAAAUAUAUAUAUAUUUUUUAAUAACUUUAUUUAACGAGGCAAGUCAGUUAAGAACACAUUCUUAUUUUCAAUCACGGCCUAGGAAUGGUGGGUUAACUGCCUUUUUCAGGGUCAGAACCACAGAUUAUUACCUUGUUUCGGUCACUAGUCCAACGCUCUAACCACCUGCCUCACGAGGAGCCUGCUUGUUACGCGAAUCCAUUAAGAAGCCA